AUUGAACGCUGGCGGAAUGCUUUACACAUGCAAGUCGAACGGUAGAGGGGGCAACCCCUCGAGAGUGGCGAACGGGUGAGUAAUAUAUCGGAACGUGCCCAGUCGUGGGGGAUAACGUAGCGAAAGUUACGCUAAUACCGCAUACGAUCUAAGGAUGGAAGCGGGGGAUCGCAAGACCUCGCGCGAUUGGAGCGGCCGAUAUCAGAUUAGGUAGUUGGUGGGGUAAAGGCUCACCAAGCCAACGAUCUGUAGCUGGUCUGAGAGGACGACCAGCCACACUGGAACUGAGACACGGUCCAGACUCCUACGGGGGGCAGCAGUGGGGAAUUUUGGACAAUGGACGCAAGUCUGAUCCAGCCAUUCCGCGUGCAGGAUGAAGGCCCUCGGGUUGUAAACUGCUUUUGUACGGAACGAAAAGGUCUCUCUUAAUACGGGGGACUCAUGACGGUACCGUAAGAAUAAGCACCGGCUAACUACGUGCCAGCCGCCGCCGUAA
RNAcentral lists this ribosomal RNA (496 nucleotides) under uncultured bacterium. RNAcentral describes it as "partial 16S ribosomal RNA". It matches the Rfam family "Bacterial small subunit ribosomal RNA", at positions 30 to 523 of the family's 1533-position model. The record is from RNAcentral.